CCUACGGGUGGCAGCAGUGGGGAAUAUUGGGCAAUGGGCGCAAGCCUGACCCAGCAACGCCGCGUGAAGGAAGAAGGCUUUCGGGUUGUAAACUUCUUUUAAGCGGGAAGCGAAGAAGACGGUACCUCUUGAAUCAGCCACGGCUAACUACGUGCCAGCAGCCGCGGUAAUACGGAGGUGGCAAGAGUUGUCCGGAUUUACUGGGUGUAAAGGGCGUGCAGCCGGGAAGACAAGUCAGAUGUGAAAUCCAGCGGCUCAACCGCGGAACUGCAGUUGAAACUGUUUUUCUUGAGUACCGGAGAGGUCAUCGGAAUGCCUGGUGUAGCGGUGAAAUGCGUAGAUAUAAGGAAGAACACCAGUGGCGAAGGCGGAUGACUGGACGGCAACUGACGGUGAGGCGCGAAAGCGUGGGUAGCAAACAGGAUUAGAUACCCUUGUAGUC
RNAcentral lists this ribosomal RNA (442 nucleotides) under uncultured bacterium. RNAcentral describes it as "partial 16S ribosomal RNA". It matches the Rfam family "Bacterial small subunit ribosomal RNA", at positions 338 to 795 of the family's 1533-position model. The record is from RNAcentral.